Molecule: ribosomal RNA, 454 nt
Filed under: uncultured organism
Description: partial 16S ribosomal RNA
Rfam family: Bacterial small subunit ribosomal RNA
Source: RNAcentral
CGUACACUCCUACGGGAGGCAGCAGUGGGGAAUAUUGGACAAUGGGCGCAAGCCUGAUCCAGCCAUGCCGCGUGAGUGAUGAAGGCCCUAGGGUUGUAAAGCUCUUUCACCGGAGAAGAUAAUGACGGUAUCCGGAGAAGAAGCCCCGGCUAACUUCGUGCCAGCAGCCGCGGUAAUACGAAGGGGGCUAGCGUUGUUCGGAAUUACUGGGCGUAAAGCGCACGUAGGCGGAUCGAUCAGUCAGGGGUGAAAUCCCAGGGCUCAACCCUGGAACUGCCUUUGAUACUGUCGAUCUGGAGUAUGGAAGAGGUGAGUGGAAUUCCGAGUGUAGAGGUGAAAUUCGUAGAUAUUCGGAGGAACACCAGUGGCGAAGGCGGCUCACUGGUCCAUUACUGACGCUGAGGUGCGAAAGCGUGGGGAGCAAACAGGAUUAGAAACCCGGGUAGUCCCAUGA